Molecule: ribosomal RNA, 497 nt
Filed under: uncultured bacterium
Lineage: Bacteria
Description: partial 16S ribosomal RNA
Rfam family: Bacterial small subunit ribosomal RNA
Source: RNAcentral
GAUGAACGCUGGCGGUAUGCCUAAUACAUGCAAGUCGAGCGAACGGACGAGGAGCUUGCCUCUCUGAUGUUAGCGGCGGACGGGUGAGUAAAACGUGGAUAACAUACCUAUUAUACUGGGAUAACUUCGGGAAAACGGAGCUCAAACAGGACAAUAUUUUGCACCGCAUGGUCCAAAAGUGAGAGACGGUCUUGCUGACACUAUUAGCAGGCUCCGCGCUGCCUUAGUUAGGUGGUAAGGUCACGCCUUACCAAGGCAACGAAGCGUAGCCGAGCUGAGAGGGUGAUCGGCCACACUGGAACUGAGACGCGGUCCGGACCCCUACGGGAGGCAGCAGUGGGGAAUCUACCACUGUGGGCGGAAGCCUGGCGGGGCAACGCCGCGUGGGUGAUGGAGGUCUUCUGUUCUUAAUACUCUGUUAUUAGGGAAGAACAUAUGUGUAAGUAACUUUGCACAUCUUGACGGUACCGAAUCAGAAAGCCACGGCUAACUACGUG